UUAGAAGCUUGCUUCUAUGACGUUAGCGGCGGACGGGUGAGUAACACGUGGGCAACCUGCCUGUAAGACUGGGAUAACUUCGGGAAACCGAAGCUAAUACCGGAUAGGAUCUUCUCCUUCAUGGGAGAUGAUUGAAAGAUGGUUUCGGCUAUCACUUACAGAUGGGCCCGCGGUGCAUUAGCUAGUUGGUGAGGUAACGGCUCACCAAGGCAACGAUGCAUAGCCGACCUGAGAGGGUGAUCGGCCACACUGGGACUGAGACACGGCCCAGACUCCUACGGGAGGCAGCAGUAGGGAAUCUUCCGCAAUGGACGAAAGUCUGACGGAGCAACGCCGCGUGAGUGAUGAAGGCUUUCGGGUCGUAAAACUCUGUUGUUAGGGAAGAACAAGUACAAGAGUAACUGCUUGUACCUUGACGGUACCUAACCAGAAAGCCACGGCUAACUACGUGCCAGCAGCCGCGGUAAUACGUAGGUGGCAAGCGUUAUCCGGAAUUAUUGGGCGUAAAGCGCGCGCAGGCGGUUUCUUAAGUCUGAUGUGAAAGCCCACGGCUCAACCGUGGAGGGUCAUUGGAAACUGGGGAACUUGAGUGCAGAAGAGAAAAGCGGAAUUCCACGUGUAGCGGUGAAAUGCGUAGAGAUGUGGAGGAACACCAGUGGCGAAGGCGGCUUUUUGGUCUGUAACUGACGCUGAGGCGCGA
Molecule: ribosomal RNA, 700 nt
Filed under: Priestia sp.
Lineage: Bacteria; Bacillati; Bacillota; Bacilli; Caryophanales; Bacillaceae
Description: bacterial SSU rRNA
Rfam family: Bacterial small subunit ribosomal RNA
Source: RNAcentral